RNAcentral lists this ribosomal RNA (497 nucleotides) under uncultured bacterium. RNAcentral's name for it is "partial 16S ribosomal RNA". It matches the Rfam family "Bacterial small subunit ribosomal RNA", at positions 28 to 507 of the family's 1533-position model. The record is from RNAcentral.
GAUGAACGCUGGCGGCGUGCCUAAUACAUGCAAGUCGAGCGAACAGAUGAGGAGCUUGCUCCUCUGACGUUAGCGGCGGACGGGUGAGUAACACGUGGAUAACCUACCUAUAAGACUGGGAUAACUUCGGGAAGCCGGAGCUAAUACCGGAUAAUAUAUUGAACCGCAUGGUUCAAUAGUGAAAGACGGUUUUGCUGUCACUUAUAGAUGGAUCCGCGCCGCAUUAGCUAGUUGGUAAGGUAACGGCUUACCAAGGCAACGAUGCGUAGCCGACCUGAGAGGGUGAUCGGCCACACUGGAACUGAGACACGGUCCAGACUCCUACGGGAGGCAGCAGUAGGGAAUCUUCCGCAAUGGGCGGAAGCCUGACGGAGCAACGCCGCGUGAGUGAUGAAGGUCUUCGGAUCGUAAAACUCUGUUAUUAGGGAAGAACAAAUGUGUAAGUAACUAUGCACGUCUUGACGGUACCUAAUCAGAAAGCCACGGCUAACUACGUG